RNAcentral lists this unclassified non-coding RNA (302 nucleotides) under Hevea brasiliensis (rubber tree). Lineage: Eukaryota; Viridiplantae; Streptophyta; Magnoliopsida; Malpighiales; Euphorbiaceae. The record is from RNAcentral.
UUCCUGUUGGUCUAUGGACAGCUUCAAACUUGAAAUAUUUGAUCCUAAGUGAUAAUUUGUUCACGGGUGAGCUUCCUAACGAAGCGUCAAGGAAUCUUUUAAGGCUAGAGAUCAGCAACAACAGGUUUUCUGGUAAAAUCCCCACCGGAGCUUCUUGGAGGAAUCUCAUAGUUUUUAAUGCCAGUAAUAACUUGUUUUCUGGCACAAUCCCUCCAGAAUUAACUGCUCUUCCUCUUCUCACUACUCUUCUGCUUGAUAGGAACAACCUCAGUGGAGCUCUUCCAUCUGAUAUAGUCUCAUGG